UGGGGAAUAUUGGACAAUGGGCGCAAGCCUGAUCCAGCCAUGCCGCGUGGAUGAUGAAGGCCUUAGGGUUGUAAAGUCCUUUUAACGGGGAAGAUAAUGACGGUACCCGUAGAAUAAGCCCCGGCUAACUUCGUGCCAGCAGCCGCGGUAAUACGAAGGGGGCUAGCGUUGCUCGGAAUUACUGGGCGUAAAGCGCACGUAGGCGGCUCUUUAAGUCGGGGGUGAAAUCCUGGAGCUCAACUCCAGAACUGCCUUCGAUACUGAAGAGCUCGAGUCCGGGAGAGGUGAGUGGAACUGCGAGUGUAGAGGUGAAAUUCGUAGAUAUUCGCAAGAACACCAGUGGCGAAGGCGGCUCACUGGCCCGGUACUGACGCUGAGGUGCGAAAGCGUGGGGAGCAAACAG
Molecule: ribosomal RNA, 403 nt
Filed under: uncultured bacterium
Lineage: Bacteria
Description: bacterial SSU rRNA
Rfam family: Bacterial small subunit ribosomal RNA
Source: RNAcentral